Molecule: ribosomal RNA, 1244 nt
Filed under: Listeria monocytogenes
Lineage: Bacteria; Bacillati; Bacillota; Bacilli; Caryophanales; Listeriaceae
Description: partial 23S ribosomal RNA
Rfam family: Bacterial large subunit ribosomal RNA
Source: RNAcentral
GGUUAAGUUAGAAAGGGCGCACGGUGGAUGCCUUGGCACUAGGAGCCGAAGAAGGACGGGACUAACACCGAUAUGCUUUGGGGAGCUGUACGUAAGCGUUGAUCCAGAGAUUUCCGAAUGGGGGAACCCACUAUCUUUAGUCGGAUAGUAUCCUUACGUGAAUACAUAGCGUAAGGAAGGCAGACCCAGGGAACUGAAACAUCUAAGUACCUGGAGGAAGAGAAAGAAAAAUCGAUUUCCUGAGUAGCGGCGAGCGAAACGGAAAGAGCCCAAACCAAGAAGCUUGCUUCUUGGGGUUGUAGGACACUCUAUACGGAGUUACAAAAGAAAGUUAUAAAUGAAGCGGUCUGGAAAGGCCCGCCAAAGACGGUAACAGCCCGGUAGUUGAAAUGGCUUUCCCUCCAGAGUGGAUCCUGAGUACGGCGGAACACGUGAAAUUCCGUCGGAAUCCGGGAGGACCAUCUCCCAAGGCUAAAUACUCCCUAGUGACCGAUAGUGAACCAGUACCGUGAGGGAAAGGUGAAAAGCACCCCGGAAGGGGAGUGAAACAGUUCCUGAAACCGUGUGCCUACAAGUAGUUAGAGCCCGUUAAUGGGUGAUAGCGUGCCUUUUGUAGAAUGAACCGGCGAGUUACGAUUUGUUGCAAGGUUAAGCGGAAAAAGCGGAGCCGUAGCGAAAGCGAGUCUGAAUAGGGCGCAUAAGUAACAGGUCGUAGACCCGAAACCAGGUGAUCUACCCAUGUCCAGGAUGAAGGUAAGGUAAUACUUACUGGAGGUCCGAACCCACGCACGUUGAAAAGUGCGGGGAUGAGGUGUGGGUAGCGGAGAAAUUCCAAUCGAACUUGGAGAUAGCUGGUUCUCUCCGAAAUAGCUUUAGGGCUAGCCUCGAGGUAAAGAGUCAUGGAGGUAGAGCACUGUUUGGACUAGGGGCCCUUCUCGGGUUACCGAAUUCAGAUAAACUCCGAAUGCCAUGUACUUAUACUCGGGAGUCAGACUGCGAGUGAUAAGAUCCGUAGUCGAAAGGGAAACAGCCCAGACCACCAGUUAAGGUCCCCAAAUAUAUGUUAAGUGGAAAAGGAUGUGGGGUUGCUUAGACAACCAGGAUGUUGGCUUAGAAGCAGCCACCAUUGAAAGAGUGCGUAAUAGCUCACUGGUCGAGUGACCCCGCGCCGAAAAUGUACCGGGGCUAAACAUAUUACCGAAACUGUGGAUGAACCUCUUCGGAGGUUCGUGGUAGGAGAGCGU